ACUCCUACGGGAGGCAGCAGUGGGGAAUAUUGGACAAUGGGGGAAACCCUGAUCCAGCCAUGCCGCGUGUGUGAAGAAGGCCUUUUGGUUGUAAAGCACUCUAAGCAGUGAAGAAGACUCUUCGGUUAAUCUCCUCGCAGACGAUGACAUUAGCUGCAGAAUAAGCACCGGCUAACUCUGUGCCAGCAGCCGCGGUAAUACAGAGGGUGCAAGCGUUAAUCGGAAU
RNAcentral lists this ribosomal RNA (226 nucleotides) under uncultured Psychrobacter sp. Its description in RNAcentral is "partial 16S ribosomal RNA". It matches the Rfam family "Bacterial small subunit ribosomal RNA", at positions 335 to 551 of the family's 1533-position model. The record is from RNAcentral. Lineage: Bacteria; Pseudomonadati; Pseudomonadota; Gammaproteobacteria; Moraxellales; Moraxellaceae.